This 299-nucleotide unclassified non-coding RNA is filed under the name plant metagenome. RNAcentral describes it as "partial contains 5.8S ribosomal RNA, internal transcribed spacer 2, and large subunit ribosomal RNA". The stretch from base 1 to 105 matches the Rfam family "5.8S ribosomal RNA", at positions 50 to 154 of the family's 154-position model. The record is from RNAcentral.
GAAAUGCGAUAAGUAAUGUGAAUUGCAGAAUUCAGUGAAUCAUCGAAUCUUUGAACGCACAUUGCGCCCCCUGGCAUUCCGGGGGGCAUGCCUGUUCGAGCGUCAUUACACCACUCAAGCCUGGCUUGGUAUUGAGCGCCGCGGCCUGCUCGCGCGCUCCAAUGUCUCCGGCUGAGCCGUCCGUCUCUAAGCGUUGUGAAUAGCGAUCGCUUGCGAGGCCCGGGCGGUUCGACGCCGUUAAACCCCCCAUUUUCUAUGGUUGACCUCGGAUCAGGUAGGGAUACCCGCUGAACUUAAGC